UUGCCAUUAUUUUAUCCAAAUUUUACUAAAAUUGUACAUUCAAUUAUUAAUGCAUAAUAGUCUGUCAACUUGGAAUAAUAUGGUCGCUUGGAAAAGUUGUUUUUACCAAUAAAAAUUUGGAAAAUUUUUAACCGAUUUCAGGUGCAAUUGGAGAAUCCUGACGCAAGUUUUGUUCAAUAUGGAAAUACUGAAGAGUUCAUAGCUGGGCAUAAUUGUCAACAGCACUACACUGAUGAACCCGUAUUAUUUGAGAACACGAAUUGCGUAAUCAAU
This is a long non-coding RNA of Pararge aegeria (speckled wood butterfly), 273 nucleotides long. RefSeq lists it as uncharacterized. The transcript is spliced from 3 exons. NCBI's taxonomy places the organism in Eukaryota, Metazoa, Arthropoda, Insecta, Lepidoptera, Nymphalidae. The record is from RefSeq and is a predicted model, not a curated record.